Molecule: ribosomal RNA, 414 nt
Filed under: uncultured microorganism
Description: bacterial SSU rRNA
Rfam family: Archaeal small subunit ribosomal RNA
Source: RNAcentral
CAGCAGCCGCGGUAAUACCGGCGGCCCGAGUGGCGGUCACUAUUAUUGGGCUUAAAGCGUCCGUAGCCGGGGUGGGAAGUCCUCCGGGAAAUCUGGCCGCUUAAAGGUCAGAAUGCCGGAGGAUACUCCCAGCCUAGGGAGCGGGAGAGGCCGAGGGUAUUCCCGGAGUAGGGGGGAAAUCCUAUAAUCCCGGGAGGACCACCUGUGGCGAAGGCGCUCGGCUGGGACGCGUCCGACGGGGAGGGACGAAGGCCAGGGGAGCAAACCGGAUUAGAUACCCGGGUAGUCCUGGCUGUAAACGAUGCGGACUUUGUGUCGGACAAGCUAUGAGCUUGUCCGGUGCCGGAGGGAAACCGUUAAGUCCGCCGCCUGGGGAGUACGGCCGCAAGGCUGAAACUUAAAGGAAUUGGCGGG